This 484-nucleotide ribosomal RNA is filed under the name uncultured bacterium. RNAcentral's name for it is "partial 16S ribosomal RNA". It matches the Rfam family "Bacterial small subunit ribosomal RNA", at positions 30 to 507 of the family's 1533-position model. The record is from RNAcentral.
AUUGAACGCUGGCGGCAGGCCUAACACAUGCAAGUCGAGCGGAUGAAGGGAGCUUGCUCCUGGAUUCAGCGGCGGACGGGUGAGUAAUGCCUAGGAAUCUGCCUGGUAGUGGGGGAUAACGUCCGGAAACGGGCGCUAAUACCGCAUACGUCCUGAGGGAGAAAGUGGGGGAUCUUCGGACCUCACGCUAUCAGAUGAGCCUAGGUCGGAUUAGCUAGUUGGUGGGGUAAAGGCCUACCAAGGCGACGAUCCGUAACUGGUCUGAGAGGAUGAUCAGUCACACUGGAACUGAGACACGGUCCAGACUCCUGCGGGAGGCAGCAGUGGGGAAUAUUGGACAAAGGGCGAAAGCCUGAUCCAGCCAUGCCGCGUGUGUGAAGAAGGUCUUCGGAUUGUAAAGCACUUAAAGUUGGGAGGAAGGGCAGUAAGUUAAUACCUUGCUGUUUUGACGUUACCAACAGAAUAAGCACCGGCUAACUUCGUG